This is a long non-coding RNA of Dermacentor silvarum, 2458 nucleotides long. RefSeq lists it as uncharacterized. NCBI's taxonomy places the organism in Eukaryota, Metazoa, Arthropoda, Arachnida, Ixodida, Ixodidae. The record is from RefSeq and is a predicted model, not a curated record. The transcript has 2 exons.
UUCCAAAUGGCGCGAGCAUCGUAUAUGGUUGUUCUAAAAUCAAGGCUAAAAAUGUAUGCCAAGCUAUUCUAGCUUUCCGCUUCGGAAUUGAAUCAGAAUCAGUGUUUCGCUCUUCGGUCUUUAUUUGGCAAAUACUUAGAAGCAGAAGCUUGUCACGUUUCUGACUCUGAAGUUCGUCCGUUCGGUCACUAUCCGAUUAUUUUCUGCCUAAUCGCUCUCGGGUGUGUUCAGUUGCAGUAGAUUUGUUCUUGCUGCACACAAGGCUUGGAACGUGGCUGUUCUGUUCUUUGUAAUAGCUUGUAGCAAAUAGUAUCGCUAGUAACUCGCUUACUCCUGUGGACUGUCACGAAACAUUCAGCGAACAUUCAUGUACUGUUGGUGUAGUAGCUGUUACACAUGCUUUGGUGUAUCGAUUCAAGUGUGCAUAAGUUGGCGUGCAAGUUGUGGUAGAUGUGUGUAGAUAAUGUGCGUGAAACUUACUGUGCUGGAAAGCGGUGCUAUUCCUUUUAUCGGUCUUUAGCGAGCGGUACUCAUUCUUGCCGACAUUCCGGGGUGGAGGUUAGCGAUACAACGCUGAUGUAAAUUUUUGUGAAAACUUUUUUUUUUUUUUUAUCUACCAGGAAACUCGUUUAUUGUGAAGGGCCAGAAACAGAGGCUGCUCGUAUGUAGCAACAGUCCGUGAACUAGGACAUAUAUUCAUUACAUUCCUUAAUAUGCCAGUCACUAUUUUUGCAGCCAACUACUGCAAACGUCUCCAAUCCACCGCUCCACAUUUUACAGCAUGAAUGGAGCACAGUGCUUGAGCGAAAACCCAGUUGCAUUUUCGACAGCUGAUUGCACGGAAACAAGACAGAAGCGGUAAUGGUUUCGUAUUCGUGCGCUUUCGCUGAGGCAAUGUAUGGCAUGCCACCGAAAGCACCAUCUCGUUUCUUGAAAACAAAUUGCUCCGCAAAAAGGGUCAAUAGACAUCCUUGGCCAAAUCUCCGUAACGGAUGUGCCAAGGUGACCAAUAUUAAAUAUAUUAAAGCUAUAGUGCCCCAUCCGUAGCAGAUACCUCCGCGUCCAGCAUGCCUGCUUCAUUUUUGAUUCUCAAUGAAGUAUGCAUUGAACUUUUUUCCCGAGUCUACCAAAGCACGAAACAGACGCCAACAAGAACAAACUAGAGUGCCUGAACAUGGCAUGAAUUUAAUAGCCUUUGAUCCUUGAUUUUAUCUGGGCUCAAGCAUGCUCACACAUGCCUUUGUGACAGUGAUCAAUAUACAAAAAGCCGACCUCACCUAACAAACUUUCUAGUGCAACUGUUGAUUGCUUUUUCCCAGAGGGUCAUAGCUGUAGUGGCAACAAAAAUGUGUAAUAAUUAGAGCUACAAUCAUUUCACCUUUUUCGAUAAUUUUUUAUGCAGAUCCUGUAUAUGUGGCUACCUUCAACAUCGGCAUGUUUAAAGCACGUCGACGCUUCUGAGUCGUGGCAACUAGGGCCAUUGGAGACUUCCCACCAAAAAAAAUAAGCUGAAUGCACUUGGAAAGCACAUGUCCAGAGGUGGAGGGAAAAGUUGCUCGUUGCCAUCACCCAAACUGCCACCGCCUCCUCCCCGCCGGAAACCACCACCUCGAAGACCAUGGCAACAUCCUCCCUCGGAACAGGCUGGCUGCCGAUGGGAAUCAUGGCUGGCAGCAGCAAUGCCAGAAUCUAAAAUUUUUAAUUAUCGUAAAAAUUUUUAAUUAUCGGUGUGAGAGAGGCCCAGCGCUUCUUCGUAUCUUCGUCGCUCUUGGCAAGCAGCUUGUCCCAGUUGAGCAAAGGCGGCGGUUCUUCGCUUUUGCUGGAGCAUGCUGGUUCUUCCGGCGGAUGGACGAUCGCGUCGAUGAGCUCGCGGGCCUUGCGACACGCCUCUUCGGGGUCCGAGAGCUUGAUCUUGGUCUCGAAGUAAUUAUCUGCGUCGUCUUUCUUGACCCAGAUGUACGCACCACUGGAAUCCUGAAGCUCGUGGAUCCUGGAACCUCCUUUGCCAAUGAUCCUGGCGACAUCUUUGACUGGCACCACGAUCACUUCAGCAUCUGGGCGCGAUGCAUUGGGUCGUUGAUAGUUACCCAGGCCAUGGCCCCGACCAGACGUGCCGCGGGUGCCUCCUUUGCCGUAACACCCGAGUUUUGAAGUCGGCUGCGAAGGCAGAGGAGCGUAUUCAUCCUCGAUCCACUCUUUAUCUCUAUUCUUCGAAGCAGCAUCCACAAGAGUGGAGACAGCGUUCCCUGGCCGAUGGACGGUUGUGGUGUGAAGCUCGUCAGAUGUGGGCCUUGUGGCGGACGGACUACAACCAACACAAGUGCCUAAAGACUUCAUAGUCGAGAAACGUCAUUCACAAAACCUGGGCACUUGUAGAUAUGCAUGCUGCCACCAACACCUCUUUAACAAAAAUAUAUCACAACAUGUAUAAAAUAAACGAGUUCAAUUGCAUGCCAUA